RNAcentral lists this ribosomal RNA (1938 nucleotides) under Triticum aestivum (bread wheat). RNAcentral describes it as "partial small subunit ribosomal RNA". The record is from RNAcentral. Lineage: Eukaryota; Viridiplantae; Streptophyta; Magnoliopsida; Poales; Poaceae.
AUGCAUUCCUUCAACAUUCCUCCGGCCGUGCUGCAGUUGUUCCUGCUACUCUCCUUGGUCUCUCCCACCACCUCAUGCACCGAGCAGGAGAAGCAUGCACUUCUCCAGUUCCUCGCUGGGACGUCGGGAGAUGGAACCCUCGCCGCGUCGUGGCGCCAUGAGACAGACUGCUGCGAGUGGGAAGGCAUCAUUUGCAAUGGAGAUGGGGCCGUCACUGAGAUCUCCCUGGCAUCUAAAGGACUUGAAGGGCGCAUCUCGCCAUCUCUAGCCGACCUCAUAGGCUUGCUGCAUGUCAACCUUUCGCACAACUCUCUCUCCAGUGGCCUUCCGCUAGAGCUCAUGUCCUCCAGCAGCAUCAUCGCCCUUGACGUCAGCUUCAACCGACUAAAUGGAACGCUACAAGAGCUGCUGUCUUCGAUCACCACAGACCGGCCUCUGCAGGUACUCAACGUCUCAAGCAACCAGUUCAGCUUAGAACUUCCAUCAGCCACAUGGAAGAUGAUGAAAAAUCUAAUCGCGUUCAACGCCAGCAAUAACGGCUUCACUGGGCACAUACCGUCUUCUCUUUGCCUUGGCUCGCCAUCUUUGGCUUUGCUUGACCUCUGUCACAACCAAUUGAGUGGUGACAUUCCGAACACACUAGGUAAUUGCUCCAAGCUCAAAGUGCACAAGGCUGGUAACAACCACCUAAGUGGGACUCUCCCUGUUGAAAUCUUGCACACUGCUUCGCUGGAGUACCUCUCCUUCCCCAACAAUGGUUUGCAAGGAGAACUUCAUGGAGCACAAAUGGUCAAACUCAGUAAUCUAGGUACUCUUGACCUUGGAGGGAACCAGAUCAGUGGAAACAUCCCAGAAUCGAUAGGUCAGCUCAGGAGGCUGGAGAAGCUUCAUUUGGGUAACAACAACAUGUCUGGCGAGCUGCCAUCAACUCUGAAUUGCACAAAUCUCAAAACCAUCAAUCUGAAGAUCAACAACUUCAGUGGAGAUCUAAGCAAGGUAAACUUCGCAACCCUACAGAAUCUAAGAAGUAUAGAUCUCAUGAUGAAUCAUCUCGGUGGCAUAGUGCCAGAAAGCAUUUACUCAUGCGGCAUGUUGACUGCACUGCAGCUGUUGGGCAACAAUUUCCAUGGUGAGAUCUCACCAAGAAUAGGCAAUCUGAAGCAUCUAUCCUUCCUAUCACUUGGUAGUAACUCCUUUACAAAUAUCAUGAAAGCUUUGCAUGCCCUUAAGAGCUGCAGGAACAUCAGCACCUUGCUUACUGGCAAAAACUUCAUGAAUGAGGCCAUGCCACAAGAUGAAACCAUUGACGGUUUUCAGAAUCUUCAGUUUCUAAUGCCAAUGCUAAAAUCAGACAAGCCUGCCAUAUAUUUCAACCCAAGCCUCCUUGACCUACCAAUUUAUGUGGACGGCGCCAAUGCUAAACUUCAGUACCGCAUGGGCAGUGCUUGGCCCAAAGGGCUGGAUCUUGGUAAGAAUAAAUUCACAGGUAUGAUCCCCCAAGAGAUUGGUCAUCUGAAAGCACUCACUUACCUAAACUUGAGUUUCAACAACUUUUAUGGAGAGAUCCCACAAUCAAUCUGCAAGCUCACGAACCUCCAGGGGCUAGAUUUGUCUAAUAACCAUCUCACCGGUGCAAUCCCUAUGCCGUUGGAGAAUCUUCACUUCCUUUCAUGAUUCAACGUUUCUGACAACGACCUAGAAGGAUCUAUUCCAGCAGAAGGGUAGCUGAGCACGUUUCAGGCUUCUAGUUUUGACGGGAAGCCAAAGCUGUGCGGCUCUGUGCUUACUAACCAUUGCAGUUUAGUUGAAGCAGCUCCCGUCUCCAUCAUCUCUGCAAAACAAUGCAGCGAAAAGAUCAUCUUCGUGAUUGCAUUUGGUGUGUUCUUCGGGGUUGGAGUGCUAUAUGAUCAGUUAGUAUUAUUCAGAUAUUUUGGCUAA